AAUGGCAGUCUGUGCUGACCUAUGGGCUUGCAAACAAGAUGAGGGAAAUACUGGGAAACUGCAGGAUGGCAGACACUUGCCCAGUGCAGCUCAGCCUCAGCACUGAGAGGGCUGGCAAAGCAACCCUAAAGCCCCAGCACACCUUGUGGACAAGGCUAUACCCACACUAGGCCACAUCACCUCCAGGAGCAGCUGAAAUUCCAAUAUCACAGCACUGGGAAUUGCAGAGCACAAAAAAGGAAGAUCUACAGCUGCUGUUCAGCAGGGGUCUGAGACACCCUGAAGCUGUGGGCAAGAAGAUUUUUGUCAGGGGAACAACCUGAGCAAAGGAGUGCACAGGAGUACAUCAGGCUCCAAUGGAAUCAAACCUGUUCCAAGGCUGGAAAGACUGAGGAAGAAA
Parus major (Great Tit) is the source of this 400-nucleotide long non-coding RNA. RefSeq lists it as uncharacterized. The transcript is spliced from 3 exons. NCBI's taxonomy places the organism in Eukaryota, Metazoa, Chordata, Aves, Passeriformes, Paridae. The record is from RefSeq and is a predicted model, not a curated record.